Molecule: transfer RNA, 71 nt
Filed under: Bacillota bacterium
Lineage: Bacteria; Bacillati; Bacillota
Description: tRNA-Pro
Rfam family: tRNA
About the family: Transfer RNA (tRNA) molecules are approximately 80 nucleotides in length. Their secondary structure includes four short double-helical elements and three loops (D, anti-codon, and T loops).
Source: RNAcentral
CGGAGUAUAGGGUAGUGGUAGCCCGCAUCCUUGGGGUGGAUGUAGCUCCGGUUCAAUUCCGGAUACUCCGA